UUUGGAGAAGUUUGAUCCUGGCUCAGGACGAACGCUGGCGGCGUGCUUAACACAUGCAAGUCGAACGGGAUCCUGCUUGGUUUUUGCUGGGUGGGUGAGAGUGGCGAACGGGUGAGUAAUGCGUGACUAACCUGCCGUGUAGUUGGGUAUAGCUCCUGGAAACGGGUGGUAAUACCGAAUGGUCCACUGGGCUGCAUGGUCUGGUGGGAAAGUUUUGUGUGCUAUGCGAUGGGGUCGCGUCCUAUCAGCUUGUUGGUGGGGUGAUGGCCUACCAAGGCUUCGACGGGUAGCCGGCCUAAGAGGGCGACCGGCCACAUUGGGACUGAGAUACGGCCCAGACUCCUACGGGAGGCAGCAGUGGGGAAUAUUGCACAAUGGGGGGAACCCUGAUGCAGCGACGCCGCGUGCGGGAUGGAGGCCUUCGGGUUGUGAACCGCUUUUAUUGGGGAGCAAGCUGGCCCUGUGUGGGUUGGUGAGUGUACUUGGUGAAUAAGCACCGGCUAACUACGUGCCAGCAGCCGCGGUAAUAA
RNAcentral lists this ribosomal RNA (530 nucleotides) under Scardovia inopinata. Its description in RNAcentral is "bacterial SSU rRNA". It matches the Rfam family "Bacterial small subunit ribosomal RNA", at positions 1 to 526 of the family's 1533-position model. The record is from RNAcentral. Lineage: Bacteria; Bacillati; Actinomycetota; Actinomycetes; Bifidobacteriales; Bifidobacteriaceae.